AAGUAUAUUUUCAUGAGAUACAAUGGCAAUCAGGCGGCACAUGCAGAAGAGUUGUGGAAGGUUGAUUGAGAAGUCAUAAGGACUGGGUGAAGCAAAAUGCAAUCUCCAAGUUUCAGGUUUCAAAAUGAGAAAUUGGAGCAUUGAGACCUUUGAACUGAAACCUAAAUAAAGGUAUACAUAUUUAUGUUGGUCUAAAACCACCAUGUUUUAUCUGUAGAAAAUAGAAAUCGCCGUUCGGUUUCAUUUACAAAUUAAAUUAAACUAUAGACAUAGUCCACGACGUCGGGACAAAUAGAGUAACUAAUUAUAUGUAUGUUUUUUCCAGCAAAGAACUUAUUAUAAAAUAGGACACCAGAAAAUCCAAUGGGAAAUUGAUGGGCUCCCCUCUUCGUAAAAAAGUUACUUCACGGCAUUGCCUAAUGUACAGAGAAAUCACGGGGUCAAAAAUUGCUUUCCCGCCCAUGACAUA
This is a long non-coding RNA of Triticum dicoccoides, 469 nucleotides long. RefSeq lists it as uncharacterized. NCBI's taxonomy places the organism in Eukaryota, Viridiplantae, Streptophyta, Magnoliopsida, Poales, Poaceae. The record is from RefSeq and is a predicted model, not a curated record. The transcript has 3 exons.